Molecule: long non-coding RNA, 3223 nt
Filed under: Mytilus galloprovincialis (Mediterranean mussel)
Lineage: Eukaryota; Metazoa; Mollusca; Bivalvia; Mytilida; Mytilidae
Source: RNAcentral
GUUGAUCAAGUAGUCCUGUGACGUGUACCUAUUACUUGUUAUAUAGAAAGUGUAUCAACUUCAUCAAAAGGUUCUUUUUAAAUUUAUUUAAAUUUAAAUAUCUUACCUAUUCCCUUUAAUAUAAGUUCUAUGUAUCAAUUAGUUGCAAAAGACUAUGCACUGACAUUAGUUUAAUUAUUUCAUCUGUUGCAUCCUGUCUAAAAACGGGCUUACAAAAUGACGGUUUCAGUUGGAUAAUCAUAAAUACAUCUUUACUUCUCACAUUUUUGUCUCGGAUUUUUUUUAAAAGUCAGAUUUCGAAAGAAAAUUUGCUUAUAUUAAAUUUUAAAAUUCUCCUCAAUAAGGAAAGAUAAACAACAAUGAUACACUUCGUUCGAAGGGGAGUUGUAAUGUGUAAUGUUUUGAUUGAAGUGGCAUUUGUACUAAGUGAAUGAAAGACCUUGAAGUUCUACGUUGUUGUCAGUCUAAUGUUCGGCGUGUUUAUUUUCAUUGUUCGGUUUGUAAAAUUUCCAAACUGAAUUGAGAAUAUCCGUUGGGAUGGAAAAUGCACAUAUCAAUUAUUUAUAAGGCACAAAAGCUAUCGAUAGGCACACACUUGAUAUUGGAUGAUAUAUCUUGAAUAUUUUGAAUGAUUCAUUCAGUUUUUUUCAUACACAUAUUGUCAAGAAACUCCGGAUGGCCAAUUUCUAUAUACCUGAAGGUUAUAAAUCUAAAGGUGUAUGAAUAUCAUCAGGGACUAAAGAUAGGUCGAUUUGCUCAUAUAAAAUAUUCCGCAUUUAAGAAAUUUGAAACAGACUGGUUUCCUCUUUGACCUUUGAAAUUGUAUAUGUAAAUGUUUUGACCUAAUAUCUUCAGUCUUAAUUCAACAAUGAAACAUAUCUAUUUUAUAUAUAAACAUAAAUAUUUCAAAAGUUUAUUUGUAAGAGUAUCAUUUUACAUAUCUACCUUCCCAUCAGAAACUAACUCAUAAACGUUAUAAAUGAGAAUCGUUUAAAUUGGGCAUCAGUGUAAUUUGGUGACCAAUUAUAUCACCAAAGUACCAUUGCUUUUACCGCUCAAAUAUUUUUAAAAACUUGGCUCGAGUAAUGAAGCUUUUAAAAAAAAUAUAUGUUGCUAUCUUAUUCAGCCGUUGACGUUAGCUUUAAUAAAAUAAAGUUAAUAUUUGGAAUAGAACCAAACAUAAAAACGUAUAAGAUAUGAAAUCUCCGGAACAAUAAAUCAUAGUUUUAAUUUUAAAAUCAUACAUUGAGAAACAUAAUAAAUAUUGGUCAGAUUAUUAUUCAAUUGGAUAUACUACUUUUGUUUAGAUAAUGUUUUUGAAUGCAUUAAUGACAAGUAUGUCAAAUUGUGUCAAAUUGUGGCUUUGAAAUAUUGUAGUUCUACAUAACGGGUUCCAGAAAAUGAAUAACUGUAAAGGAAAUUAAUUAUCUUGUAAUUUGGUUUGGAACUAGACAUGAAUACAUCGAAUGCUGCAUAACGUCAAGCCUAGUCUGUAGAAUUGUUUUUAACAGACUCAGCAUUUAUUUCAUUGUGUGUUGUACUUUUGUUAAAAUUUCUGAUCACUAAAAUUGCUAGUGAUGGCACCGUAUAUUGAUUGUAUUUCAUGUAUCAGACCGGAGGGUUAGGAAAAUAAAUUCUCUACAAGUUGUUUUAAAAUGAUAAUAUUGACGAAUUCCAGUAGAUUUGUGUUUGAGAUCUGUGCAUUUCUUUUUGUUCAUAAGGUGUGAUGUGGUUUAUAAGUAUUUUGACUCCAAAAUGCAUGUUUUAAUAAAACCUUUUGUUUAUUAGGUAUGUACUAGUAAAUUAUUUAUUUGAAAUUUUCUUUUUUAUACAUGGUUGAGUGAAGACAAUAAUAUGUGUGUUUGUAGUUCAUUAUUUCUUUAAUCUCAGUAGCAUUGCAUUAUAAUGACUAUUUUAAAGCUCAUAAAUGUUUGAAUUUUAUACGGAAAAAUACUAAUUCAACGACUUUAUACUCAUCCAUUCAAAAAAAACAUCUGCAUAUUUGUAUUUCUUUACAUGUAUCAGGCUAAAACUAUUUAACGAAAUACAGAGACACAAUUUUGUCUUUCCGAACUUAUAUUGGAAAACAAAUUGAAAGGUAUUGUUUAUGCUAUAGAAUUGAUGUUUAAAUGAAAAAUAUUUUUAACUACUGAGUACCGCUUAUAUAUGUCUCUUGUCAGAGUGUAUAGUUGAAAAGGGACCAAUAUCUGUAUUGUUACAUCUGUAGUAUAGCUCAGCAUAAUUUAUUUGGCGGGUAAAGUACACUGGUAAAGUAUACAUUGUACUACUUACAUUCUACAUUCUUUUUGGUGUUAAGAAAUAUUAAAUUUAUUUGGGCAAAACUUGCUCAUGUUUGUUAUUUUUGCAAAGAACGUAAUAUUAAAUUGUUUGGUACCCCGUACUGUUAAAAUAUGUUUUACACAUUCUUUUAUUUGUGGUGUAGACUAUUUCAUACAAAAUAUUUACGAAUAAAUCUUACUAUUGUGAUUUUUCAUGUUGAUAUUUUAUAUCAAGAAUAACACUGGAUUCGCCUUAAGCUAUUUACAAUCUAAUAAUUUAAAACAGAUGGAUAAUGCUAUAGACCAAGCGAGGGACGAAUUUCAGGCAAUGUUGAUAUUCUUCAAUUUCAUGAUUAAAAACAAAUAUAGUUUUUUUUUAUUUAGACCAAGUAUCGAUUUGGAAUUAGGAUAGGUUAAAAGGCAUUAAAAUGUGUGUUAAUUGUAAUUUUGCCUGUUUUUAUAUCUCAACUGAAACUGUAUGUAGAAAAACAAAACGCGCGUCUGGCGUUCUAAGUUGUAGUCCUGGUUAUAAUUUAUAGAAGUUUAUAUAACCGGAAUUGUUCAACUGUGUACCUUAUAGAAUACUAUUGACAGUUAAUAAAUCAACCACCUUUUCGGCUGUUUUAUUUCUACCCAGUACAAAAAUGCUUACUCCAGAUUUGACACAACUUUUACUUUGGCAUAUUUAGUUUUAAUGCUUUUGAGAUUUGUGAUCUUAUUUGUCCUUCCUCUUUACCAAUUCUUGAGCAGCUGUAUACCAGUUAUUGCAUUUUGGGCUUACAUAUUUUAAUUGGUAGGUUCAACGCAUUAUAUCUUUAUUAUAUUGACUAAAUUAUUAGGAGUAUUCUAUAAACUACCUCCACAUAGUUAUAAGGAAAUAGACAUUAGAUAAUCGAUAUUGAUGCAGUGUGGCAGUUAUUUUUUCAAACUUAUUUACGCACCGA